AGUGAACGCUGGCGGUAGGCCUAACACAUGCAAGUCGAACGGCAGCACAGUAAGAGCUUGCUCUUACGGGUGGCGAGUGGCGGACGGGUGAGGAAUACAUCGGAAUCUACUUUUUCGUGGGGGAUAACGUAGGGAAACUUACGCUAAUACCGCAUACGACCUACGGGUGAAAGCAGGGGAUCUUCGGACCUUGCGCGAUUGAAUGAGCCGAUGUCGGAUUAGCUAGUUGGCGGGGUAAAGGCCCACCAAGGCGACGAUCCGUAGCUGGUCUGAGAGGAUGAUCAGCCACACUGGAACUGAGACACGGUCCAGACUCCUACGGGAGGCAGCAGUGGGGAAUAUUGGACAAUGGGCGCAAGCCUGAUCCAGCCAUACCGCGUGGGUGAAGAAGGCCUUCGGGUAGUAAAGCCCUUUUGUUGGGAAAGAAAAGCAGCAGGUUAAUACCCCGCUGUUCUGACGGUACCCAAAGAAUAAGCACCGGCUAACUUCGU
RNAcentral lists this ribosomal RNA (491 nucleotides) under uncultured bacterium. Its description in RNAcentral is "partial 16S ribosomal RNA". It matches the Rfam family "Bacterial small subunit ribosomal RNA", at positions 29 to 506 of the family's 1533-position model. The record is from RNAcentral.